Molecule: long non-coding RNA, 578 nt
Organism: Ictalurus punctatus (channel catfish)
Lineage: Eukaryota; Metazoa; Chordata; Actinopteri; Siluriformes; Ictaluridae
Source: Ensembl
AUUCCAGCCCUUAUGAAAUUGGCAAGAUACUGCUGUCUGCAAUUUUUCCCAAAGACUGGAGACCCUUACUCACUGGAGAUCCUUACCAGGCACUUCUGUCAAAGGUCAUGUUAUCCAAUCAUCUAAAUCAAUCGACUGACAUUGUAGUGUUCAAUGAAGGCAAACCUUACAGUAUUAUUUAGAUUGAAUGGUGACCAUUUGUUCCUCAGACCAACUGUUCAUCUGUCACAGAGGAAAGAUGUGAGGGCAAUGUCUAGAGAAUUACUUAAAGGUGUAUCACUCCAGGAAGUCUGUUCACAGGUCCAGGCCCAGUGGCAUCAGUGCAUCAGUCAUAUCCAAACACCUUAUCCAGUCCAGAAAAGUGUCAGCUCCUCAAGCCAUAGAGGCAUACAUUGUCCAGGUUAUUCUCACUACCCCCGGCUGUGAUGAUGGGCUAUAUAGUAUUAUAUAUAUGAUGGGUUAUAUAGUAGUAUAGUUAUGAGGGGUUAUAUAGUAGUAUAGUUAUGAGGGGUUAUAUAGUAGUAUAUUUAUGAUGGGUUAUAUAGUAGUAUAGUUAUGAGGGGUUAUAUAGUAGUAUA